This 253-nucleotide ribosomal RNA is filed under the name uncultured bacterium. Its description in RNAcentral is "partial 16S ribosomal RNA". It matches the Rfam family "Bacterial small subunit ribosomal RNA", at positions 524 to 776 of the family's 1533-position model. The record is from RNAcentral.
UACGUAGGGUGCAAGCGUUGUCCGGAAUUAUUGGGCGUAAAGAGCUCGUAGGCGGUUUGUUGCGUCGGCUGUGAAAUCCCGAGGCUCAACCUCGGGUCUGCAGUCGAUACGAGCAAACUAGAGUGUUGCAGGGGAGACUGGAAUUCCUGGUGUAGCGGUGAAAUGCGCAGAUAUCAGGAGGAACACCGGUGGCGAAGGCGCUCAUCUGGCCCAAUACUGACGCUGAAGCGCGAAAGCUAGGGGAGCAAACGGG